RNAcentral lists this ribosomal RNA (253 nucleotides) under uncultured bacterium. Its description in RNAcentral is "partial 16S ribosomal RNA". It matches the Rfam family "Bacterial small subunit ribosomal RNA", at positions 524 to 776 of the family's 1533-position model. The record is from RNAcentral.
UACGAAGGGGGCUAGCGUUACUCGGAUUGACUGGGCGUAAAGGGCGCGUAGGCGGUUCGUACAGUCAGACGUGAAAUUCCUGGGCUCAACCUGGGAACUGCGCUUGAUACGGCAGAGCUAGAGGAUGGAAGAGGCUCGCGGAAUUCCCAGUGUAGAGGUGAAAUUCGUAGAUAUUCGCAAGAACACCAGUGGCGAAGGCGGCUCACUGGCCCAUUACUGACGCUGAGGCACGAAAGCGUGGGGAGCAAACAGG